UCCACCAACGUAAAAAAAAAACAUCGCAUAGCAACACAAGCUCAGAUGGGACAUAGAUGAACUUUACCACUAGGGAACUGCUACCAAAUUCAGAAAGGGGUUCAUAACUCAAAAAGCAAAAUUGCGCCAAAGUGUCUACGCCAAAAAUUAACUAGUGUUACAAAAACCGAAGAUAUGUACCAACAUUUACACCAUCCGACAGUUAAAAUUAGACAAAAUCACAGCAAACAAAAAACGAAAUACGUAUCUUUCCCCUGAAGAAGACACCAUCCAAAGUGUCGAAACGUCGGGUUAGAUAACAACUCGUUUUGAUUUAACAAGACUGCGUAGCCGUCAAAAUCCGAAUUUA
Aedes albopictus (Asian tiger mosquito) is the source of this 349-nucleotide long non-coding RNA. RefSeq lists it as uncharacterized. The transcript is spliced from 3 exons. Lineage: Eukaryota; Metazoa; Arthropoda; Insecta; Diptera; Culicidae. The record is from RefSeq and is a predicted model, not a curated record.